CCUACGGGUGGCAGCAGUGGGGAAUAUUGGACAAUGGGGGGAACCCUGAUCCAGCCAUGCCGCGUGUGUGAAGAAGGCCCUCGGGUUGUAAAGCACUUUCAGUGAGGAAGAACGCCUGGUGGUUAAUACCCAUCAGGAAAGACAUCACUCACAGAAGAAGCACCGGCUAACUCCGUGCCAGCAGCCGCGGUAAUACGGAGGGUGCGAGCGUUAAUCGGAAUUACUGGGCGUAAAGCGCGCGUAGGUGGCUUGAUAAGCCGGUUGUGAAAGCCCCGGGCUCAACCUGGGAACGGCAUCCGGAACUGUCAAGCUAGAGUGCAGGAGAGGAAGGUAGAAUUCCCAGUGUAGCGGUGAAAUGCGUAGAGAUCGGGAGGAAUACCAGUGGCGAAGGCGGCCCACUGGACUGACACUGACACUGAGGUGCGAAAGCGUGGGUAGCAAACAGGAUUAGAUACCCCAGUAGUC
RNAcentral lists this ribosomal RNA (465 nucleotides) under Vreelandella stevensii. RNAcentral's name for it is "partial 16S ribosomal RNA". It matches the Rfam family "Bacterial small subunit ribosomal RNA", at positions 338 to 795 of the family's 1533-position model. Lineage: Bacteria; Pseudomonadati; Pseudomonadota; Gammaproteobacteria; Oceanospirillales; Halomonadaceae. The record is from RNAcentral.